This 2005-nucleotide long non-coding RNA is filed under the name Salmo salar (Atlantic salmon). Its description in RNAcentral is "lncRNA (ENSSSAG00000109407.1, ENSSSAG00000116395.1)". Lineage: Eukaryota; Metazoa; Chordata; Actinopteri; Salmoniformes; Salmonidae. The record is from RNAcentral.
GUGACUGUACUAUUUAGUGUCAUUGUUUUAUAGAUACCAUAGUGAGAAAGGAUUCAUUUCGCAACACCUACGGCUUCCACUAGAUGGCAACGAUCUUUAUAAAGUUGUUUGAAGCGUCUAUGAUAAACAGAGAGCAAAUUAGAAUCCAAGGAAGUUGACAUGUCAUCACUUCAUUUUUUGCGCCUGCGCAUAAAUCUGAGAAACGUGAGUUUUGUCUUCAUUGUUUAUCUCGACAUAGGAUAGGUUGUGUGAAAAUAUUACUGAUGUUUAACGUUAAAAAUGGACCAAAAGAUUAAUGCUAAACAACAUUUGACAUGUUUGAACGAACAUAAAUAGAUUAUUUACUAGGUUUUUUUUAGCUUUUCGGCGUGAUUUUACAGUCCCCCACCACGUUUUGUGGGAGCAUAAUGAACGCUAAGUACUUGGUGUUAUUUGGACAUAAAUUAUGAACUUUGUCAAAAGAAACCACAUUUGUUCCGGACCUGUGAUGCCUUCCGGACCUGGGAUGCCAGUCUUUUGAUGGAGAUAAUCAAAGUGAUGAUUAUAGCUAAUUUCCUGUAAAAUACCUGGGCCUACAUUGUAACGAUCAUCUGAAAGAGGGGACCAAGAUGCAGCGUGGGGACAGCGGGGAGAAAGCAGGUUUCUGCAGGGGAGACUCUGAGCAAGUCUCUGAGCAGGUGACAGGAAGAACGACACGUCGAUGGAAGUGAUGGGAUAGGGAGGACACCUGCAGCUUCCUCUCCAUUGACAGAUAUCCACCCGGGACACAUCUGGGUUCUCAGACAAAAAUAUCUCUGACAGGACAUCUGAAAAACAUCUGAUCUACAACCUGUUGGGCACUGAAACGUGCACUCAUGGCUUCAGCAAAGAGAGAACUGGGGGGACUGUCAUCUGCAGCACCUUUAUAGCCUCUGACUGCCUUCCCCAUUAGUAAACAAUUCUUUCAAGAAAUGUUUAUUUUGUCUGAAAUUGUUUUUAUUUAGUCUGUGAACUUGAGUUGUGUGGGGUCAUGGAGGGGAGAUGCUGCACGUGCACAAGAAAGUUCAAUCAGUAGCACACAUCUCAAUUUCUCAUUGUGUGUGUGUGUGUGUGUGUGUGUGUGUGGUGAGUACACUAUUUUGUAACUGCCGUGUCAAAAAUGACCCUAAGACAAUCUUUGUACCCUGGUUUUGUACAGCUUUCAUGGAAAUAUGAACAUGGGCGAUGUUUCACUUUUUCUAAUGUUGGGGUCACUCUAGGAAAAGUCAUCAAAUUUAUUUUGGAAAAAAUAUAAUUUAGGGGGUUUUCUCUGCUGUUAAACAUAGUGGCGGAUCAUUUUUGACCCUUAAGACAACACAAGGGUUAAGAUAAUUGUAUGUGUGGGUACAGAGAUGAGGUAGUCAUAAAAAAUCAUGUUAAACACUAUUAUUGUGGCCUCCAGAAGGGUGCAGCAGUCUAAGGCACUGCAUCGCAGUGCUAGCUGCGUCACUACAGAUCCCGGUUCGAUCUCAGGCUGUGUUGCAGCCGGCCUCGACCGGGAGACCCAUGAGGCGGCACACAAUUGGCCCAGCAUCACCUGGGUUAGGGGAGGGUUGGACGGCUGGGUUGUCCUUGUCCCAUCGCGCUCUAGCAACUCCUGUGGCGGGCUGGGCGCAGUGCAUGCUGACACGGUUGCCAGGUUUACGGUGUUUCCCCCGACACAUUGAUCGGCUGGCUUUUAAGUUAAGCGAGCAUUGUGUUAAGAAGCAGUGCAGCUUGGCGGGGUCGUGAUUCGCAGAACGCACGGCUCUCGACCUUCACCUCUCCCGAGUCCACAGGGAGUUACAGCGAUGGGACAAGACUGUAACUACCAAUUGGAUAUCAUGAAAUUGGGGAGAAAAAAAAUCUAAAUAAUUAUUAGAAAUGAAACACUAUGAUUGCACACAGUGUGAGUCCAUGCAACUUAUUAAGUACAUUUUUACUCCUGAAAUUAUUUAGGUUUGCCAUAACAAAGGGGUUGAAUACUUAGUGACUCAAGACAUUUCAG